RNAcentral lists this ribosomal RNA (253 nucleotides) under uncultured bacterium. Its description in RNAcentral is "partial 16S ribosomal RNA". It matches the Rfam family "Bacterial small subunit ribosomal RNA", at positions 524 to 776 of the family's 1533-position model. The record is from RNAcentral.
UACGUAGGAGGCAAGCGUUGUCCGGAGUUACUGGGCGUAAAGCGCACGCAGGCGGUCCCAUUAGUCUGUGGGGACAGGGCACGGCUCAACCGUGUCAGGCUCAUGGAAACUGUGGGACUUGAGGGCUUCAGAGGGAUGGGGAAUUCCGGGUGGAGUGGUGAAAUGCGUAGAUAUCGUAAGGAAGACCAGUGGCGAAGGCGAAUCUCUGGACAGUUACUGACACUGAGGCACGAAGGCCAGGGGAGCAAACGGG